RNAcentral lists this ribosomal RNA (155 nucleotides) under uncultured bacterium. Its description in RNAcentral is "partial 16S ribosomal RNA". It matches the Rfam family "Bacterial small subunit ribosomal RNA", at positions 370 to 518 of the family's 1533-position model. The record is from RNAcentral.
AAUGGGCGAAAGCCUGACCCAGCGACGCCGCGUGAGUGAUGAAGGCCUUCGGGUUGUAAAGCUCUGUGGAGGGGGACGAAUAAGGGUUGGCUAACAUCCAGCUCGAUGACGGUACCCCUUUAGCAAGCCCCGGCUAACUCUGUGCCCGCAGCCGC